CCUACGGGAGGCAGCAGUGGGGAAUAUUGGGCAAUGGGCGCAAGCCUGACCCAGCAACGCCGCGUGAAGGAAGAAGGCUUUCGGGUUGUAAACUUCUUUUCUCAGGGACGAAGCAAGUGACGGUACCUGAGGAAUAAGCCACGGCUAACUACGUGCCAGCAGCCGCGGUAAAACGUAGGUGGCAAGCGUUAUCCGGAUUUACUGGGUGUAAAGGGCGAGUAGGCGGGACUGCAAGUCAGAUGUGAAAACUACGGGCUCAACCUGUGGCCUGCAUUUGAAACUGUAGUUCUUGAGUACUGGAGAGGCAGACGGAAUGCCUAGUGUAGCGGUGAAAUGCGUAGAUAUUAGGAGGAACACCAGUGGCGAAGGCGGUCUGCUGGACAGCAACUGACGCUGAGGCGCGAAAGCGUGGGGAGCAAACAGGAUUAGAUACCCGAGUAGUC
This 443-nucleotide ribosomal RNA is filed under the name uncultured bacterium. RNAcentral describes it as "partial 16S ribosomal RNA". It matches the Rfam family "Bacterial small subunit ribosomal RNA", at positions 338 to 795 of the family's 1533-position model. The record is from RNAcentral.